CCUCUUGAUGAUGAGGAACUAGUGUCAUAUAUAUUGUCAGGCCUCAACGUUGACUAUAACCCGUUGGUAUCCUCUGUUGUCAAUAGAUCUGAUCCUAUUUCGCUGAGUGAUCUUUAUGCACAGGUGAUGAGCUAUGACA
Phragmites australis (common reed) is the source of this 139-nucleotide small nucleolar RNA. RefSeq annotates it as small nucleolar RNA Z247. Lineage: Eukaryota; Viridiplantae; Streptophyta; Magnoliopsida; Poales; Poaceae. The transcript has a single exon. The record is from RefSeq and is a predicted model, not a curated record.